This 253-nucleotide ribosomal RNA is filed under the name uncultured bacterium. RNAcentral describes it as "partial 16S ribosomal RNA". It matches the Rfam family "Bacterial small subunit ribosomal RNA", at positions 524 to 776 of the family's 1533-position model. The record is from RNAcentral.
UACAGAGGUGGCAAGCGUUGUUCGGAAUUACUGGGCGUAAAGGGCGCGUAGGCGGCCAUCUAAGUCAGACGUGAAAUCCCCCGGCUUAACCUGGGAACUGCGUCUGAUACUGGAAGGCUUGAAUCCGGGAGAGGGAUGUGGAAUUCCAGGUGUAGCGGUGAAAUGCGUAGAUAUCUGGAGGAACACCGGUGGCGAAGGCGGCAUCCUGGACCGGCAUUGACGCUGAGGCGCGAAAGCCAGGGGAGCAAACGGG